Molecule: microRNA, 22 nt
Filed under: Macaca mulatta (Rhesus monkey)
Lineage: Eukaryota; Metazoa; Chordata; Mammalia; Primates; Cercopithecidae
Also listed under: 1 other name
Description: Mml-Mir-4524_3p (mature (guide))
Source: RNAcentral
UGAGACAGGCUCAUGCUGCUAU